AGGGUUUGAUCAUGGCUCAGAUUGAACGCUGGCGGCAGGCCUAACACAUGCAAGUCGAGCGAGAAAGCACUUCGGUGCGAGUACAGCGGCGGACGGGUGAGUAACGCGUAGGAAUCUACCUGGUAGUGGGGGACAACAUGUGGAAACGCAUGCUAAUACCGCAUACGACCUAAGGGUGAAAGUGGGGGACCUUCGGGCCUCACGCUAUCGGAUGAGCCUGCGUAAGAUUAGCUAGUUGGUGAGGUAAAGGCUCACCAAGGCGACGAUCUUUAGCUGGUCUGAGAGGAUGAUCAGCCACACUGGGACUGAGACACGGCCCAGACUCCUACGGGAGGCAGCAGUGGGGAAUAUUGCGCAAUGGAGGAAACUCUGACGCAGCCAUGCCGCGUGUGUGAAGAAGGCCUUAGGGUUGUAAAGCACUUUCAAUUGGGAAGAAAGGUUGUACGUUAAUAGCGUGCAGCUGUGACAUUACCUUUAGAAGAAGCACCGGCUAACUCCGUGCCAGCAGCCGCGGUAAUACGGAGGGUGCGAGCGUUAAUCGGAAUUACUGGGCGUAAAGCGCGCGUAGGCGGUUUGUUAAGUCGGAUGUGAAAGCCCUGGGCUCAACCUGGGAACUGCAUUCGAUACUGGCUAACUAGAGUGCGAGAGAGGGAGGUAGAAUUCCAUGUGUAGCGGUGAAAUGCGUAGAUAUGUGGAGGAAUACCGGUGGCGAAGGCGGCCUCCUGGCUCGACACUGACGCUGAGGUGCGAAAGCGU
Molecule: ribosomal RNA, 756 nt
Filed under: uncultured bacterium
Lineage: Bacteria
Description: bacterial SSU rRNA
Rfam family: Bacterial small subunit ribosomal RNA
Source: RNAcentral